AGCAGCCGCGGUAAUUCCAGCUCCAAUAGCGUAUAUUAAAGUUGUUGCAGUUAAAAAGCUCGUAGUUGAAUUUCGGGAUCAGUGGGUCGGUCGUGCCACUGGUAUGCACUGGCCCUACUGGUUCCUCCUUCUUGAAGAACUGUAAUGCCAUUAAUUUGGUGUUGCAGGGAAACAGGACUGUUACUUUGAAAAAUUAGAGUGUUUAAAGCAGGCAAUCGCUUGAAUACAUUAGCAUGGAAUAAUGAAAUAGGACGAUCGAUCCUAUUUUGUUGGUUUCUAGGAUUGACGUAAUGAUUAAUAGGGAUAGUUGGGGGCAUUAGUAUUCAAUUGUCAGAGGUGAAAUUCUUGGAUUUAUUGAAGACUAACUACUGCGAAAGCAUUUGCCAAGGAUGUUUUCAUUAAUCAAGAACGAAAGUUAGGGGAUCGAAGACGAUCAGAUACCGUCGUAGUCUUAACCAUAAACUAUGCCGA
This 471-nucleotide ribosomal RNA is filed under the name uncultured Glomus. RNAcentral describes it as "SSU rRNA". It matches the Rfam family "Eukaryotic small subunit ribosomal RNA", at positions 569 to 1045 of the family's 1831-position model. The record is from RNAcentral. Lineage: Eukaryota; Fungi; Glomeromycota; Glomeromycetes; Glomerales; Glomeraceae.